RNAcentral lists this ribosomal RNA (253 nucleotides) under uncultured bacterium. RNAcentral's name for it is "partial 16S ribosomal RNA". It matches the Rfam family "Bacterial small subunit ribosomal RNA", at positions 524 to 776 of the family's 1533-position model. The record is from RNAcentral.
UACGUAGGUGGCAAGCGUUAUCCGGAUUUAUUGGGCGUAAGGGGAACGCAGGCGGUCUUUUAAGUCUGAUGUGAAAGCCUUCGGCUUAACCGGAGUAGUGCAUUGGAAACUGGGAGACUUGAGUGCAGAAGAGGAGAGUGGAACUCCAUGUGUAGCGGUGAAAUGCGUAGAUAUAUGGAAGAACACCAGUGGCGAAAGCGGCUCUCUGGUCUGUAACUGACGCUGAGGUGCGAAAGCGUGGGUAGCAAACAGG